UUAAGUUCAGCGGGUAGUCCUACCUGAUUUGAGAUCGAACGUUAAAAAGCUGUCCUUGCUGAGGAGAGACAUCUGUGAGCUCCAGCGAACCUUUGUCACCAAAGGUUACCUGGUGGACAACCGCGAGCGUAGAUAGUUAUCACACCCGUGAUGCCACCAAACACUGGGAGGCUGAUUCAUUUGAGAGGAGCCGACCACAG
Molecule: unclassified non-coding RNA, 200 nt
Filed under: Thelephoraceae sp.
Lineage: Eukaryota; Fungi; Basidiomycota; Agaricomycetes; Thelephorales; Thelephoraceae
Description: partial internal transcribed spacer 2
Source: RNAcentral